This 619-nucleotide ribosomal RNA is filed under the name Candida tropicalis. RNAcentral describes it as "partial large subunit ribosomal RNA". It matches the Rfam family "Eukaryotic large subunit ribosomal RNA", at positions 270 to 911 of the family's 3401-position model. Lineage: Eukaryota; Fungi; Ascomycota; Pichiomycetes; Serinales; Debaryomycetaceae. The record is from RNAcentral.
UUGUUUGGGAAUGCAGCUCUAAGUGGGUGGUAAAUUCCAUCUAAAGCUAAAUAUUGGCGAGAGACCGAUAGCGAACAAGUACAGUGAUGGAAAGAUGAAAAGAACUUUGAAAAGAGAGUGAAAAAGUACGUGAAAUUGUUGAAAGGGAAGGGCUUGAGAUCAGACUUGGUAUUUUGUAUGUUACUUCUUCGGGGGUGGCCUCUACAGUUUAUCGGGCCAGCAUCAGUUUGGGCGGUAGGAGAAUUGCGUUGGAAUGUGGCACGGCUUCGGUUGUGUGUUAUAGCCUUCGUCGAUACUGCCAGCCUAGACUGAGGACUGCGGUUUAUACCUAGGAUGUUGGCAUAAUGAUCUUAAGUCGCCCGUCUUGAAACACGGACCAAGGAGUCUAACGUCUAUGCGAGUGUUUGGGUGUAAAACCCGUACGCGUAAUGAAAGUGAACGUAGGUGGGGGCCCGUAUGGGUGCACCAUCGACCGAUCCUGAUGUCUUCGGAUGGAUUUGAGUAAGAGCAUAGCUGUUGGGACCCGAAAGAUGGUGAACUAUGCCUGAAUAGGGUGAAGCCAGAGGAAACUCUGGUGGAGGCUCGUAGCGGUUCUGACGUGCAAAUCGAUCGUCGAAUU